UAAGCUCUGAAGUCAAGGAAGGCACCUGGAGCACAAGCAAAGUGCUCAGGUUUCAAAUGCUGUGGUGGAUUAACAAAUCAGGCAAGUUCCACCCCCAUACCACAAUCACAAUUAAAACACAUUUCAUAAAUUAUAAAUUGGGUUACCUAUAUAGACAUUUCAACCGCAUUGAGUUAAAUUGGCUUCCUCUAAAAUAAGAACUGAGACUGGAUUUAUCAAUUUUUAUUUACCUCAUGUCAUUGGAAAAAAAUGCCUUGCAGAAGUAGAUAUAACUCAAUCUAAAAAGGUACAUAUUUUAUAUAUUAAUAAUGCGCAACAAAUUGAUCUGAUUUUUAGUGAUUUCCCAAUUUAAGUUCUUGAUAGCAGAAUUGAAUUUCAUCUUGCAAUUGAUGUAGUUUGGACGUUCUCUCGAGGCUUGUGCGAAAAUUUCAUCCUGCGAUUCAUGUUGUUAUAACAGAUAUUGCUAAGCUGACUUAGGCAGUGCACAUGCUGAAUGGCUGGUUACUAAACAUGCAAGCUAAACGUCAAUAUCCUUCAUGUCAAGAAGGUCCUCUGUCCUCGAAAUCAGAGGUUUACCACCAUCAAUAUUCCAAAAGAAAGAGUACAAAACACUUGGGGAACAACACCAAACUCAAGGCAAACAAUUAAGGAAACCUGUAAGAAGGGAACCCCAUUCUGUACCUAAGAAGCUCCUAUGAUAUAAAGGAGGGUGGGGAGUCCCAUUAAGUAAAUCCAAAAUUUUGUGCACCAAAAGAGGCAAGUUUGUUUGCACCAGAGAGUUGAUUUUCUUAUAUUCAACAAAAUAAUUAUUGCCUUUUGAUGACCUGUACUUUCUUUUUCACUUUUAAUGCUUCAAUUGAUGCUUGCAGGAAGCUCGAAGGUGUUUUUGGGAAAGCUUCCUUGUUCAUGAUAAUAAAAAAAAACAUAAAAAGCUAUCAGUCACCUUCCUAACACUUUAAGUGGUUAUAAAUUCUUCCAAAUGCUUAUUUAAUUUUGGGAAAUUUUUUUUUUUAUUGUUUAGUUAAGAUCAACAGUUUAAUUGGUAUGCCUGGCUUAACUAUAUUGUAACACACACCUUUCCAUUUCCAGGUUAGGUUUGCAAGGAGGGUAGGUUCUUUCUUGGAAAACAGAGUGUGGGACACAAAUUAUGGGGUUAGCCCUCGGAAGAGUGAUGCCAGACUUUUCUUCCAUGUCCACCUUGCCAUUGCCACCAACAAGCUUCCAUUGGAAACAUUGAAUAAUUAUAGCCAGAUUCACAGG
Molecule: long non-coding RNA, 1260 nt
Organism: Glycine soja
Lineage: Eukaryota; Viridiplantae; Streptophyta; Magnoliopsida; Fabales; Fabaceae
Exons: 3
Source: RefSeq, a predicted model, not a curated record